Molecule: long non-coding RNA, 2377 nt
Organism: Gallus gallus (chicken)
Lineage: Eukaryota; Metazoa; Chordata; Aves; Galliformes; Phasianidae
Exons: 2
Source: RefSeq, a predicted model, not a curated record
GUAUUCUGCACGGGCUGCUGGGCAGGCACUAGCAAGCGGGAGAUGGUCUGCCUCUGCUAGAGCCUCGCUAGUGGGAAUCCCUACUGACAGCCCUGCUUCGCACUGCAGAGGGGGGAAGCAGAACCUUGUCUGCUCGUUGACGAGGGACAGAGCUUUGAUCGCUCUUCUCCAGCCCUGACUUGGCCUGAGGUUUAGCCCCAGUCCCGAAGUCCGCGGGCUCUCCUCACUCCCGCACGCACCCACUCGCACACACCCCUUUGCCAGCAGAUCCGUGUCACAGCUGUAACUGAGGCACACAGCAAUAAACAUAGCAGAACCAAUCUCCAUGGUGGCAAGAGGGGGCACUGGAGGUGACAACAAUGGAGAAGGAUCUUUCUGCUGACAAGUUUUAGGUUUUGCUGACAGAGGCCCAGAGUCGCCAGAGGCCAUCCUCGGCUCACCACACGCCAUCUUUCUGCAGAUGGUUGGGGCUGGUGGGGCGAUCGCUGCCGCUCCAACAUGGCCUGCACCUCGAGGGACUCCACACCAAGCACUGCAGGCCUCCGGGCUGAGACACAGGUGUGUGAUAGCACAGGGAAUGUGACGUGCUAUUGAUUUUAUGAUAAUGUUUGACACGUAGAGUGGGGGUCACAUUCUGGUGUCAAUUACCCUUAAGACGUGCACCAUGCUACAAAAUGAAUGGCAAUGCUUACCUUCCGUGGAGCAUGCGGUCUGCUAAUACACAUAGUUUUAAUUUGAAGAUUUUGAAAUUUUAGACCAUCUCUUCCUCUUGCCUUGCAGAAUGGCCCCAAAUGAUUAUUAAAGUUAUAAUAUAAAGGUAAUUGUUCUGCUUUGUGUUGCUUUUUGUGGGAGUCUCAGGAUAAGAAUAAAUGUCCAGGCUGACCAGCAAGGCUGAAUGUUUAAAUCCAAUCUCUCCAUUCUGUGGCACCUUGCGAAAACUCCCUCAGCCUCUCUGAUGACUUUUUAGUGAAGGCCUAGUUUCAGACAGUAUGUAUAGAAAACACUAGUAAAUAAGUUCACCAGUUCUGAUAAACAAUUAGUAAUUGACCGCAAUCAGACAAGUUCUGAUAAAAUGCAAGUCAGGGCAUAUACAUUUAUUUACGAAUUCCAAUAUGUUUGUUCAGUUUUGAUUUCUAAGCUCUUAGGUUUGCACUCUGGUACAAGGUGAAGAUUUUAUUUGUAGUUUUAUUCUCAGUGAAAACUUCAUGCCUCAUAUCUACAGACUGAAAUCCUCUAUUAUUUUAGCCAAAUAAUGGUACAUAGGGAAAAAGGCAUCCCCACUCUACUCUGUCAGUGUAUAAAGUUUGAUGCUGUGAGAACACUCUGAGAUUUGCAGAGUCUGCUACUGAAAUGACAACUGUAAGCUUCACUGUGAAGAAUGCUGUCUGUGUAGAUAAACAUCUCAUUAACAUAUUUUAUUGCCUGACAGAUAAUUCACAUUACAUGAAAUAAUUUGAUUGUUGUUUUUCUGAACUUGGAGGUAGGACUGGAAGAGUCCAGGGCAUAAGAUUUCCAUGGUGACUGAGAUAAACCAGCUGUAGGAGUUGAGCACAACCCCAUGCCUAUAGCUGAACCUGUCUGGGAUGAGACUAACUCUCACUGAAAUUUCUCUGGAGCUAUCUCUUCCUGCCAGUCUUUUCCUUGUUAUAGAUGUAAAAAUAAUAAUAAUAUUAAAUAUAUAUAUAUAUAAAAUAACAAACAAAAAAAUCAAAGCCAACAAACCAACCGAAAAACACAAACCUCAACUAAUGUUCCGAGUUUUAGGACAGGAAGUGUGCUAUUUUCAUAAAAACAAAUAUGUUUUUAGAAACAAAUCCUUUCCUUUGGCUGGAAAAAUGAUGCUGUACUUCUCACUUUCAGUUUGCCUUGUGAGCUAUGGAAACACAAAAAUGUAUGUUGUACUAUGAUGGUGUAUUGUGCGUUUUAACCUUAAAGGAGUGGCUUAGUCCAGCCGCUCUAGAGUAACCAAGAACUGUAGAGAUACCAAAUUUGCAGAUUAAUAUAUACUAAUUCUUUUUAGACGAUUCAGAAAUGCUGGCUUGUUCUCUUAAACUCAAAUGGGAGCUACUUCCUGGUGUUUUUCUCAAGUUUUGAGCAGGUGAUACAGUCCUGGCUUAAACAACACAGAUGUUUGUCAAACAUCUCAUUAUAUUCUUUUCUAUUACUGCAUAUUGAUUUAUAUAAGUGACUGUUCUGGCUCCUUUAAUGACUACUUCCUUUUCUUGCUGUGUUGUCUUGCAAGGGAUCACAGGUUGACUACCCAGCCACUUCAGUGAUAUUAGUAAAGGGCUAGAGAUACACUGAAAUAUCUAUUUCUAUAAUGAAAUAUCUCCAAACAAUGUUAAAAAAAAAGAAAAAGAAAAAAAAAAAGGAAAAG